This 467-nucleotide ribosomal RNA is filed under the name uncultured bacterium. RNAcentral's name for it is "partial 16S ribosomal RNA". It matches the Rfam family "Bacterial small subunit ribosomal RNA", at positions 29 to 507 of the family's 1533-position model. The record is from RNAcentral.
ACGAACGCUGGCGGCGUGCUUAACACCUGCAAGUCGAACGGAAAGGCCCUGCUUUUGUGGGGUGCUCGAGUGGCGAACGGGUGAGUAACACGUGAGUAACCUGCCCUUGACUUUGGGAUAACUUCAGGAAACUGGGGCUAAUACCGGAUAGGAACUCCUGCUGCAUGGUGGGGGUUGGAAAGUUUCGGCGGUUGGGGAUGGACUCGCGGCUUAUCAGCUUGUUGGUGGGGUAGUGGCUUACCAAGGCUUUGACGGGUAGCCGGCCUGAGAGGGUGACCGGCCACAUUGGGACUGAGAUACGGCCCAGACUCCUACGGGAGGCAGCAGUGGGGAAUAUUGCACAAUGGGCGGAAGCCUGAUGCAGCAACGCCGCGUGCGGGAUGACGGCCUUCGGGUUGUAAACCGCUUUCGCCUGUGACGAAGCGUGAGUGACGGUAAUGGGUAAAGAAGCACCGGCUAACUACGUG